RNAcentral lists this transfer RNA (69 nucleotides) under Epiplatys dageti (redchin panchax). RNAcentral's name for it is "tRNA-Gly". It matches the Rfam family "tRNA". Rfam says of the family: Transfer RNA (tRNA) molecules are approximately 80 nucleotides in length. Their secondary structure includes four short double-helical elements and three loops (D, anti-codon, and T loops). Further hydrogen bonds mediate the characteristic L-shaped molecular structure. tRNAs have two regions of fundamental functional importance: the anti-codon, which is responsible for specific mRNA codon recognition, and the 3' end, to which the tRNAs corresponding amino acid is attached (by aminoacyl-tRNA synthetases). tRNAs cope with the degeneracy of the genetic code in two manners: having more than one tRNA (with a specific anti-codon) for a particular amino acid; and 'wobble' base-pairing, i.e. permitting non-standard base-pairing at the 3rd anti-codon position. The record is from RNAcentral. Lineage: Eukaryota; Metazoa; Chordata; Actinopteri; Cyprinodontiformes; Nothobranchiidae.
AUCUUUCUAGUAUAAACAAUAUGAGUGACUUCCAAUCACGUGAUCCCGGUUAAAGUCCGAGGAAAGAUA